RNAcentral lists this ribosomal RNA (379 nucleotides) under uncultured eukaryote. RNAcentral's name for it is "partial 18S ribosomal RNA". It matches the Rfam family "Eukaryotic small subunit ribosomal RNA", at positions 592 to 975 of the family's 1831-position model. The record is from RNAcentral.
CAAUAGCGUAUAUUAAAGUUGUUGCGGUUAAAAAGCUCGUAGUUGGAUUUCUGCUGAGAACGACCGGUCCGCCCUUUGGGUGUGUAUCUGGCUCUUUCUUGGCAUCUUCUUGGUGAACGUUGCUGCACUUGACUGUGUGGAGCGCUACCCAGGACUUUUACUUUGAGGAAAUUAGAGUGUUUCAAGCAGGCAUACGCCUUGAAUACAUUAGCAUGGAAUAAUAAGAUAGGACCUCGGUUCUAUUUUGUUGGUUUCUAGAGCUGAGGUAAUGAUUAAUAGGGAUAGUUGGGGGCAUUCGUAUUUAACUGUCAGAGGUGAAAUUCUUGGAUUUGUUAAAGACGAACUACUGCGAAAGCAUUUGCCAAGGAUGUUUNCAUUG